RNAcentral lists this ribosomal RNA (254 nucleotides) under uncultured bacterium. RNAcentral describes it as "partial 16S ribosomal RNA". It matches the Rfam family "Bacterial small subunit ribosomal RNA", at positions 524 to 776 of the family's 1533-position model. The record is from RNAcentral.
UACGUAGGGUGCGAGCGUUGUCCGGAAUUACUGGGCGUAAAGAGCUCGUAGGUGGUUUGGUUAGUCGGAUGUGAAAUCUCCAGGCUCAACCUGGAGGGGUCAUUCGAUACUGCCAUGACUAGAGGUCGGUAGGGGAGUGUGGAAUUCCUGGUGGAGCGGUGAAAUGCGCAGAUAUCAGGAGGAACACCCGUAGCGAAGGCGGCACUCUGGGCCGAUACUGACACUGAGGAGCGAAAGCGUGGGGAGCGAACAGG